UAUCAACAUAAUCAUUGAUCCACGACGAUGACAUUUUGUUCGGUAGCUCCGAAACGACAAAGGAUGCUCCGAAAAGACAGAAAAAUUGUAGUCUGUUGAAUACCAAGGGCUGCUCAUAUAAUCACCUCAUAAACAAGGCGUACAACGGAAUUUUUGCAAGAUUUUCACACACAUAUAAGUUUCUGAAGAGGAUAAGAAAAUAGGCAGUUGACGGACUUUCCUAAUAAUUGACGUUUGAUGCAAUGCAAGAGAAGAAGCUGUAAGAGAUGAGAGAUGAUGGAUCAAAAGUGAAAACAAGAUGGGAAAAUUUAAGAAAAGUUUAUAUACGAAAGCAUAAGAAAGUGAAGCAAGGUUACGUCACAUCAUAUUAUUUAUAUGAUAAUAUGAAUUUUCUGGAUAAAUAUGUUUUACAUAUCCAGUCAGCUGGCAAUCUUCACCAAAAAGCUGAAGGGGGUAUUGCUAAGACAGAUAACAGCACUGCAGAUAAAGAAACAGAAAACGCAAGACUUUCUACCUGCUCCAACAACAGCAACUCACCAACAGAAAAAUGUCACCGAUGAAGAAGAUCAGGAUGAACAAUAUUUUUUACCGAUAAUAAAUUUAUUGAAAAGGAUUCCUCCAACUGAAAUCGAUGAAUGCAUGGCUGGAAUAAUAUCGAUUAUUCAGAAGUAUAGAAGUAUUAAUAAUUAAUUUAAUGUACAGUAUUAAGGUAAUAAAGUGUCAACAAUAAUUAAACAUUUAUAAUAAAA
RNAcentral lists this long non-coding RNA (749 nucleotides) under Nasonia vitripennis (jewel wasp). Its description in RNAcentral is "uncharacterized LOC100678973, transcript variant X2". Lineage: Eukaryota; Metazoa; Arthropoda; Insecta; Hymenoptera; Pteromalidae. The record is from RNAcentral.